This 505-nucleotide ribosomal RNA is filed under the name uncultured bacterium. RNAcentral describes it as "partial 16S ribosomal RNA". It matches the Rfam family "Bacterial small subunit ribosomal RNA", at positions 28 to 507 of the family's 1533-position model. The record is from RNAcentral.
GACGAACGCUGGCGGCGUGCCUAAUACAUGCAAGUAGAACGCACAGUUUAUACCGUAGCUUGCUACACCAUAGACAGUGAGUUGCGAACGGGUGAGUAAUGCGUAGGUAACCUGCCUGGUAGCGGGGGAUAACUAUUGGUAACGCUAGCUAAUACCGCAUAAUAUUAAUUAUUGCAUGAUAAUUAAUUGAAAGGUGCAAUUGCACCACUACCAGAUGGACCUGCGUUGUAUUAGCUAGUAGGUGAGGUAACGGCUCACCUAGGCCAAGGUACAGAACCGACCUGAGAGGGUGAUCCGCCACACCGGGAACGGGACAACGGCCAGGCUCCCACGGGAAGCAGGCGUAGGGGAACUUUGGCAAAGGACGGAAGUCUGACCGAGCAAAGCCGGGUGGGUGGAGGAGGGUGUCGGAUCGGAAAGCUCUGUUGUAAGAGAAGAACGGGUGUGAGAGUGGAAAGUUCACACUGUGACGGUAUCUUACCAGAAAGGGACGGCUAACUACGUG